This 869-nucleotide ribosomal RNA is filed under the name uncultured bacterium. Its description in RNAcentral is "bacterial SSU rRNA". It matches the Rfam family "Bacterial small subunit ribosomal RNA", at positions 42 to 898 of the family's 1533-position model. The record is from RNAcentral.
GCGUGCCUAACACAUGCAAGCUCUAGCGGUAACAGGUGUAGCAAUACAUGCUGACGAGCGGCGAACGGGUGAGUAAUGCUUUGGAAUCUUCCCAGUAGUGGGGAAUAACCAGUCGAAAGAUUGGCUAAUACCGCAUACGUCUGUAAAGGGAAAGCGGGGGCUCGUAAGACCUCGCGCUAUUGGAUGAGCCAAAGUCGGAUUAGCUAGUUGGUGGGGUAAUGGCCUACCAAGGCGACAAUCCGUAGCUGGUCUGAGAGGACGACCAGCCACACCGGAACUGAGACACGGUCCGGACUCCUACGGGAGGCAGCAGUGGGGAAUAUUGGACAAUGGGGGAAACCCUGAUCCAGCGACGCCGCGUGUGUGAAGAAGGCCUGCGGGUUGUAAAGCACUUUUAGUGGGGACAAAAAGCUGCGGAUUAAUACUCUGUGGUCUUGAUUUAACCCAAAGAAAAAGCACCGGCUAACUCUGUGCCAGCAGCCGCGGUAAUACAGGGGGUGCGAGCGUUAAUCGGAAUUACUGGGCGUAAAGCGCGCGUAGACGGUUUUGUAAGUCAGAUGUGAAAUCCCUGGGCUCAACCUGGGAACUGCAUUUGAGACUGCAUGGCUAGAGUAUCGAAGAGGGAAGUGGAAUUUCCGGUGUAGCGGUGAAAUGCGUAGAUAUCGGAAGGAACACCAGUGGCGAAAGCGACUUCCUGGUCGAAUACUGACGUUCAUGUGCGAAAGCGUGGGGAGCAAACAGGAUUAGAUACCCUGGUAGUCCACGCCAUAAACGAUGACAACUAGAUGUUGGGAGGGUCUGCCUCUCGGUGUCCCAGCCUAACGCGUUAAGUUGUCCGUCCUGGGGGAGUACCGGCCCCCAAGGUUUGA